ACAUACUCUUGUUACCAUAUGACACAUGAUCAAUGGAUGUUGGUUAAUUAUCAGUAAUGUAAGGAGAAGCCUUGAUCAGAUAACGGACAUCCAUCAAGCUCAAAAAGAAAACUUGUGUUUCCCAUAGUCACAAACGAUUGCGGUUUGUAUUUCCCAUAGCCAUCGUUCCCAGAGUAAAAAGCGUUUGUGGUUUGCAAUUCUCGGUUGUACCGCGAGUGG
RNAcentral lists this long non-coding RNA (219 nucleotides) under Helianthus annuus (common sunflower). RNAcentral describes it as "sRNA HanXRQr2_Chr09g0387931". Lineage: Eukaryota; Viridiplantae; Streptophyta; Magnoliopsida; Asterales; Asteraceae. The record is from RNAcentral.